This is a long non-coding RNA of Parambassis ranga (Indian glassy fish), 4605 nucleotides long. The record is from Ensembl. Lineage: Eukaryota; Metazoa; Chordata; Actinopteri; Ambassidae.
GGCAGACAUGAGCAAACGGUCCCAGCACUGCAGAGGUUUGAUCUCAAAGGAGGGGGGGCAGAGACUCCUCCACCUGCUGCUGUCACCCAUGGUCCUUCUGAAGCUCCUCCACCCCAAGCAGCACCCUCCAGAGCUGAGACAGGAAGCCCAGGUGGAGGGGUUAAAGCUAGCGUUAGCUUAGCAUCAAACCCAGAGUGAAUGAUAACACACAGGUUGAUCGCUCUCUGUCUGCACAGUGUGUAAGAAGGGCUUUCUGAGGGACUGUGCUCCUGCACUGAGACUGGUUCUCUUACAUCAGUGAGUCUGUGUGAACACUCUGCUCACUGUCUGAGCUCAUCAUGAUGGAUUUACAGCAUCUGUAAAAUGGAUCAGUACCUUUAUAAGGUCAGCUUCAUGUGUCUGAAGGGCAGCCCUUCACAUGGUCCUCACCUCAUGGUCAAGUUCUUUUUGCUUCUGUUCUCUGAGCUGAGCUUCAAAUCAGUGGAACAUUAAAGUCGGUGCAGCUCACUGUGGACUCUGUGUGUUCUCUGCUCUCAGUUCUUCCUCUCACUGAGGACUCUGUGUGUUCUCUGCUCUCAGUUCUUCCUCUCACUGUGGACUCUGUGUGUUCUCUGCUGCUCUGAUGAUCCAGUUAUUACCUGCAGCAACAAGCACAACAACAAACUAAAACAAAACAAACAGGUUGUUUUUAAGCUCAGCAUUGAAUGAUGACAGGUUAGCGCCCUCUAGUGGCGCCACUCUGUCUCUUUAUGUAACUCUCUCCACUUCAGGAAGCUCCACCCUUUUAUAAACCUCACCUGUACUUCCUGACAGGUGAGGACGAGGCAGAGCUGCAGCUGCUGUGACUCAGAAAUAAACAAACAACAAACAGUGAGGACGAGGCAGAGCUGCAGCUGCUGUGACGCAGUUACACAGAAACAAACAGUACACAGGGAGUAAGGCAGUGGAAGAACAUGGGCAAUCCAACAUCCAGGGAGAUCUUGGAGGUCCGGGAGCGGGAGGAGCAUAAGCAGAAGUUGGAGGGACAUGCACAGAAGUCCCAGAAGCUCCCGAAGCCAGAUGAGGUCUGUCAGGGACCUUUUCCACUCCCCAUGCCUUAUCUUGUUGAAGGUCCUGCCCCUCCUCAUCUUUCAUCUUUUUUGAGACCUGGUUACUCAAAGAGUUUGUCUGAAUCCUCUGACUGCAGUGAUGUGUCCUUGAGCAGUGAGAUGUCCAGAAAUCACCUCAUUAAUUUUAAAGAAAACCAUCUGUCCAGCAAGAGGAGACCUGAGCUCAGCUUUGGAUCCUCUGACUCCUUACAUCUGUCGGAUGACAGUUUGGAUGAAGACUGGUCUUCCAAGAGCAGAUACAGUGACAGAAAUAUACUGAGAAAGGAACUGGAAAAACUGCGCCAGGACAGAGAGGGCAAAAACCAUCUCCUAGACCUCUUUCUGAUUGGACCACAUGGCACCAGGGACGGGCUGAUGUCCUCCAAUCAGGACCAGCCUCAGUCUGAAGCUGCACCAACCAGCCCUGGAUCCUCUAAAACCUGUGAUUUAUUGAUGAAGAGUGACGGGUCCAAAGGUCAAGGUGUUGAUUUUGAAGGAUCAGAUCCUGAGAGAUCCUCUCCACCAAGACCUGAAUGCUUAAGACCCCAAACCCCAGAUGAACCUCUGCAGUCCUGGAAGCUCCUGAUGUCACGCAAGGUCCGGGAGACAGUUCCUAUAGCCCUACCCUGUCCUCCUCCCUUUUCUUCUUGGAGGUCAGUCAACACGCGAGCGGUCAGAGUGAAGAAAGACUCCAAGCAUGGGGAGAAGGGAACAGUUACACCUGGACACAGGCGCAUCUUUGGAUCCUCUGACUCCUUGGAUCUGUCUUCCAAGAGCAGAGCACCGUCAGAACACAGCACAAUCACUGACUCUGUGUUUACAUCCAUGGAUGAUGACAGACCUCUGCACUUCCCUGCGGUAGGAGCUCACUGCCUUGAUCAUGAACCCAUGAUGAGUGAUGAGCAGGAUCAUGAGUUUAAAGGACCAGAUACUGACAGAGCUUCAUCCUCUGAAUCCUCUGACUGCAGUGAUGGAUCCAUGAGGAGUGACAGGUCAAAAGGUCUAGGUGCUGACUUUAAAGGAUCAGAUCCUGAGAGAUCCUCUCCACCAAGACCUGAAUCCUCAAGACCCCAAACCCCAGAUGAAGCUCUGCAGUCCAUGAGGCACCUGAAGUCACACAAGGUCUCAGGUGAACUUCCUGAAGGUCGUCCUCCUCCUCGUCGUUCAUCUAUGAGGAAAAGACGUUCUGGUCGUCGCUGAGGUGAGGGACGUCAGGUCGAUCCAGGCUGUGAGAACGCACCACCGUGGUCGCAGCCAGAUGGAACUGCACCGCCACGAAAUCCUAAUCACAAGCUGUUCUAACAAAGUGAUGCACAUGUCCACUUACCUGUUAAAUACAGAAACAAAUACAGUGUAAGUAACAGACUAAUUUACCCAGACCCCUGUUUAUAUUAGGCUGCUAAAUUAGCUUAGCAUCAAAGACACAGUCAACUUUAUUUUAAAUUCUGCUGUUAGAGGACAUACUCACAAUCAAAAUGUUUCUCUCAGACCCCCAAAAACUUAAGUAUGAAUACAAAAGGUACAAAAACUGAAACUGUAUGAGAUGAAAUACAUUUAAUAACAUAAAUAAAAUGCAAUAAAAUAUCAUACAAAAUAUUAAAUAUAAUACACAAGAGUAUUAUUAAGGUUAAGGGUGAGGUAGAAGUGCAAAAUUAAAAUAAAGAAUUUAUUUACUGAGGCGGUGGAGUAAACUACACCCUAAGGAGGAUGAGCCAGUUCCUAAUAGUGCUGUUCACACCUAAGUGUCCAUUAUCGUUUCAGUUUAAUUCAGUUUUAUAUGUACGAUCAGACAGUGAUAACUUACAUACAGGUACAUAAGCUCACCUGCUAAUAUCAGCAAUAUCAGCAUGUUCAAUACUUUUACAUGUAACACAGACUCAUGCAUCAGUGUGGAUUUUGACCAUAAAUAAAUAUGUUCAAUAUAAAUAUAUAGCACUGCUGCACUGUGGCCUGAUAUGAAUAAGGUGUUUGGUGCUUGGCUGCUCCACCUGCCACAAAUACACAUGCAUAUAAUGUGUUUAAUUAAUAAGUUUCUUUAAAUAUUCUCAGUUUCCUUCCUACGUUCUGCUGUCUGUGUUCUGAGUCAAAGGUGUUCUCUUCUAAGGAAUUAUGUUAUCGUUUUAAUUAAUAUCAUCUAGCCCUUACUGUUCAAGUUGGAUAUGAUUUAAUAGUUUGAUAAGUCUGGGUCUGAUGUGCAGUCGCAAGAAAGAAAGUGAACCUUGUGGAAUUUACCAACAUUUCUGCAUUAAUAGGUCAUAAAAUCUAAAUAAUAAGAACAAACAGUGUGCUUUAUGUAAUAUCACACAAAGUAUUAGAACACUUCAUGACUUUAUUGAAUCAUUCACUGCUGGCGUGCAGAGCCACACUUAACAACACAUUUUCCCAGUAGUGUUGUGACGUGUCCCAGUGCUCGUUGACCAGUUAACCAGUCCCGGUGGUUUCUGUCACUCAGGUCUUUUGACCUCACUGGGCAUUCUGAGGGGUCUUUGGCCUCCACCUCUACUGAGAGUAGCCACAGUACUAAAUCAUUUCCAUUUAUACACAUGUGGUCGAUUAAAAAGCCUUUGUAUAAAGGGUUAACAGGUUUAAAAGGUUGGGUCAGAGUAGCUCCACACCUUACCCCAAUCUUAUUUCAUCAAGUGAAUGAUUUUUUUGGAUGUUGGGUUCAUUUAGUUUUUUCCAGUGAAUGUGUUGAAUAAUGACAUGAAAUAUUCUAAUUGUGUCGUAUUGGGUGAAGCUCAUUGAGUUUGUUCUUGUGACUUCAGGAUGUUCAGGGUGACAGAUGUUUUGCUGUAAGACAAUCAUUCAGUUAUUCAGUUGAUUUCAUGUCAUGUAUUUACUUGGUUUUCUUUACAUUUAUCUUUAGUUUCAUUAAGUACAACAAAAAAAACAACAAAACAUAAAAACACAAAAAAAGCAAGAAGCAGUAAUGUUUAUUUUAAAGCUUAGCAUCAUUGUAACUGUAUGUUAGCUUCUCCCUGUGUGUGUAAUUGAUGCAGGGAGCUCAUGUAAUCACUCCAUACUAUAGACUGAAUAUACUCUGAUGAUAUGCAUGUAUGUUGUUUGUGACAUGGAUCUGUUACAUGUACCUAAACACAGAGAUGGGGCCUGGGUCGGACUUGACUGGACCUUAAAAGACUUGUGGCUUUGUGAACAAUGUUCAAACCAUCACAGCUUAUGAUAACAUGUGGGUAUGACGCCUUCAACUAGGAGCCCAACAAGCCAACAACCUGCAGAGUGGGCGGGGUUUGAUAGGCCGCAUUCAAAACACACAUGGUUCUGAUCAUUGACUUCAAAGAACACAAAGACAGUUGGAUUUGAUUAAUUAUGAGUCAAUCAUUUGUUAUUUGUCUUGAUUCAUUAGUAAGAGCACAGGAGGCAGUCGAUGAGUCUCGAUGAGUCUCCAUCUAGUCCCCAUCUCUGUGACUUGUCAACAUCUCUGUGAAACAACAAGGUCAAAAUUAUGUUAACCCUUUCAUAUUGCUGUUUUCUUUUUGCUUAAAAUCAAUGAACCGAA